Molecule: ribosomal RNA, 497 nt
Filed under: uncultured bacterium
Lineage: Bacteria
Description: partial 16S ribosomal RNA
Rfam family: Bacterial small subunit ribosomal RNA
Source: RNAcentral
GAUGAACGCUGGCGGCGUGCCUAAUACAUGCAAGUCGAGCGAACAGACGAGGAGCUUGCUCCUCUGACGUUAGCGGCGGACGGGUGAGUAACACGUGGAUAACCUACCUAUAAGACCGGGAUAACUUCGGGAAACCGGAGCUAAUACCGGAUAAUAUAUUCAACCGCAUGGUUCAAUAGUGAAAGACGGUUUUGCUGUCACUUAUAGAUGGAUCCGCGCCGCAUUAGCUAGUUGGUAAGGUAACGGCUUACCAAGGCAACGAUGCGUAGCCGACCUGAGAGGGUGAUCGGCCACACUGGAACUGAGACACGGUCCAGACUCCUACGGGAGGCAGCAGUAGGGAAUCUUCCGCAAUGGGCGAAAGCCUGACGGAGCAACGCCGCGUGAGUGAUGAAGGUCUUCGGAUCGUAAAACUCUGUUAUUAGGGAAGAACAAAUGUGUAAGUAACUAUGCACGUCUUGACGGUACCUAAUCAGAAAGCCACGGCUAACUACGUG